ACUCCUACGGGAGGCAGCAGUAGGGAAUCUUCCACAAUGGGCGCAAGCCUGAUGGAGCAACACCGCGUGAGUGAAGAAGGGUUUCGGCUCGUAAAGCUCUGUUGUUAAAGAAGAACGCGUAUGAGAGUAACUGUUCAUACGUUGACGGUAUUUAACCAGAAAGUCACGGCUAACUACGUGCCAGCAGCCGCGGUAAUACGUAGGUGGCAAGCGUUAUCCGGAUUUAUUGGGCGUAAAGAGAGUGCAGGCGGUUUUCUAAGUCUGAUGUGAAAGCCUUCGGCUUAACCGGAGAAGUGCAUCGGAAACUGGAUAACUUGAGUGCAGAAGAGGGUAGUGGAACUCCAUGUGUAGCGGUGGAAUGCGUAGAUAUAUGGAAGAACACCAGUGGCGAAGGCGGCUACCUGGUCUGCAACUGACGCUGAGACUCGAAAGCAUGGGUAGCGAACAGGAUUAGAUACCCCUGGUAGGAUAGCG
RNAcentral lists this ribosomal RNA (474 nucleotides) under uncultured bacterium. Its description in RNAcentral is "bacterial SSU rRNA". It matches the Rfam family "Bacterial small subunit ribosomal RNA", at positions 335 to 801 of the family's 1533-position model. The record is from RNAcentral.